GAGCUGCAGCAAAAAUACUACCCACCGCUCCCUCGUUGUGAUGACUGUUGAAAACCAAAAUCAAAUGCCACCACAAAAACAGGGCUUCUUCUGUGAGAAUAGUUUUGUUGUAAAAUUCAACUGUUUUAUUAGUUUUGUGCACCAAACUACAGGUGAGGAAAAAGAAAAACGGCAGAAGCUCCAUAUGAUCCCCACCAUAACAAUACUACGACCGCAAUCGUAUAGCCAAUUUCCUAUCGCAGUGAUAAUGGAGGCGGAUGUCGAUCCUGCACUGAAAACUUCAAUGAAAACUUCAAUACCACGCUACCACCAAUGACGAUAUGUGCAAAUAGUAAGCAAAUAAGCCAAUGACUUCGGGAUGAAAUGUGCGACUAUAAGGUCGAUGCCAUCCAUAGGUCAUUCGAUCACAAGCUGCAGAAAGUGUUAUAGCGGGGAACAACGUUAAUGAUUAACAAUAAAUAAUAAACGAUUAUAACAACAAAA
Armigeres subalbatus is the source of this 483-nucleotide long non-coding RNA. RefSeq lists it as uncharacterized. Lineage: Eukaryota; Metazoa; Arthropoda; Insecta; Diptera; Culicidae. The transcript has 2 exons. The record is from RefSeq and is a predicted model, not a curated record.